GGGUGGAGGAGCGAAGGAGAGAUUGUGAAGUGCGCUCCCAGACCUCAUCCGGCAACACACUCACACACGCGCCACAUGCGCAGACGCGCACACACACACACACACGCACACACAGAUCUCCAGACUGCUUCUGUCUGAGCACUACAUACACACACAGACAGCUCCAGUACCUUGUUAACGGAGAUUCUAACACAAACACACAAACGCACACUCACACAGACACACACAAGCGCACACCCACAGAUAGAAGCCAGGAGCGGGGCAUCUGUAAGCGUAGCGAAGGGGAGCCGACUAGAAACACAGAACAACUGCAUCCUCUUUCUUCCUCUUCCUCUUCAUCACCACUUCAACUGCCACCGCCACCACUGCUGCUGCUGCUGCCGUGGCAACUGGAACGGAACUCACACUGACUCCUGCAUCAACAGUGAGAGCAAAGGGGUGACACCAGGCGAAGAGGAAGAAACGCAAAAGAAACGAAGAAGGAUUUUUUGCAUUUCUUCACCCGUCCGAAGACGUCCCACCAGCCGCCGGGAGCUCUGGCUGGAGGUGUUCCUAGGUGAGAGGGAGAGACAGAGAGGAGGGGAGAGCCAGGUCGCGGUGCGUCCCCCACGACGUG
Molecule: long non-coding RNA, 616 nt
Organism: Gadus morhua (Atlantic cod)
Lineage: Eukaryota; Metazoa; Chordata; Actinopteri; Gadiformes; Gadidae
Source: Ensembl